GUCGACUCGAAGCCCCUUCCGCAAGAUUCUUAGAGAGAGAGAGAGAGAGAGAGAGAGAGUGACGACGCCCCGAGUGGCGAAAGCGUGUGCGUCUCUCUUUCUCUUGUUUGUUUGUUUGUUCUUUGAUUCGUGGAAUCUGAUUGUUCUUAUGCGGCGGUGGAUGCGUGGAGUUGGUUGAAAGCAGAGACGAGAAUCGAUUUGGGGGUUCUAGGAGACCGGUUGAAUUAGGAGAUUAGGGCACGGUGAUCUGGGUGAACUGCAGUGUUGACCUUGGUGAGUCCGGUUGGGUUAACCUGGCGAAGGAAUUGAUGGAUGGUGUACUGCAGUGUCUUCUAUUUUGUCUGUCGAUGUAUAUAAUAUUCUAGAAAAUAAUUAUGCUCUUCGUUCCUGCUAACAUGGUGCACCAGAUAACGUCUACAGAGAGAAUAUUUCCAUUAGGUUACGGAAGUGCGGCAUUGGAAGUCUACGUUUUGUUUCACAAGUCUUGGUAUCUCUGUUUUUUGGAGUACCAAAAUAAGACUUCUCUUCGCUAGGUGCGAAAAGGAAACGGGAUGAAGUGGUGAGGACCUAUAGAUUUAUUGGAGCAUGGUGGAAUAUUGUGAAAUGUUUAGCUGAACUAGAUAUGAUGGAUCGCACCUUUGCUUUUCUUUAGAUAUUUUGUUGACUGCUUUUAGGAUCUUUGGUCUGUUCAAAAUUAUUAUUUUUUUGGUUUGUACUGUAUAUUGUUUUGUACUUUACAUAACCUACAAUUAAAUUUCUCCGUAUGGUGAUUGUGAUAUCCCACUUUUGUCUCACUUUGGAUGUAUGAGGACUGAGGAUAUUUGACUUGGUUUAUAAGUGUAUGAUGCGUUUAAUAUGAUUUACUUGAGCUUAAGCAUUCUUCUGAGUAAGUGACUUAAAUGUAUGAUAUUGUAGUUAUCCUUUUGGGUCAGAUCAUGGCAAAUGAUAUCAGAGUGGACUCGAUAUUUGAUAUGGUGAGAGAGUCAACUGGUUCUCACAUGUAUUAUACUAAAGUUUAUUUUUGGUUGUGUUGCGUUUGGGUCUUAACGAGGACAUUAAGUCUUAAGUAAGGGAGAUUGUAAGAUACACCAAUUCAGUCACACAUCAGAUGUGUGAGGAGAGUUGAUUUGAUUUAUUAAAUUAGAUGGGUUUAAUGCAAAUAAUUUGGGCUUAAGCAUUUCGAGCUAGGGGUUUGAACUCAUUAAGUUAAUAGGAUAAUUAUUCUAUGGAGGUCGGAUCAUAACAAUUAGUGUUAGAGAGAAUCAAUGAUUAGGCUGAUGAUUUUAAUUUGUCUUGCAAUGUGUCGAUGCUUUGUUUCCAAACUUGAUAUUUCUUUUAACAGCUUGAGACAGUAGAUCAAAGAGAGUAAGUUGAAAUUUUAGGAGAGGAUGUGGGAAACCAUUUAACAAGACUAGCAACAGAAAUGAGAUACUAUAAUUUCACUUGAAUGUGAAAAUAAUAGUCCCAGAAGAUGGAAGGCAAGGAUUUAUAUCCUGAAUGAAGGUAUCAGCUACAAUAUUUUAUAUAUAUAUAUGCAUGUUCUCCUUAAUACUGGUUUUGGUUAGGAUCGUUGAUGAAUAAUGAGGCUUUAAGCGGCUAUGAAUUAUGUUUUGUUAAGGAUAAGUUCUUGGAUAUUUGAUUUUCCAUGUUGUUUUAUGUAGUUGGGAUGGUUUAGGCAACCGGGAUGGUUUAUUUACCCUUGGGGUAGUGAAGCCAAUUCAUGGAUCAUCACUUGGAAAUUAUAAUCUUCUGUUGAUGGCUUAAAACCUCAUGUCAUCUACAGGUCUUUGUUUAAUGGGAAUCUGACUUCAUAGGCUUAGUGGGUGGUCUGGUUUUUGUGUCUUUUCUAGAGGUAAAAGAGGAGCAGAGCGAGUGGUGUCGGAUAUGUGUAAUUCAAGGAGAGGCAACCAUAGUUUUUCUAAGCUAAGAUGGAAACUUUUGGAGGUUGUAGCCUGUUGGACAUGUGUUGACACUGGGUAUUUGCAUAGGUAUGCCUUUAGAAUCAUAAAAUUGCAACUUUUCCUGCAAAUUUUAAAAUACACAUAAAUCUCUGAAAGAGUUUAUAUGAGAGAAACUAAAAGUUUAAACCUUGAAGGAAGAAUAUGAAAAAUGUCCAAGCAGAAAAAUCAACAGUAGUCUUCUAAAAAGGAUAAAUGAAAGGAAAAAUGGUGGUAAGGUGGGAUUUUUUUUUUAAAUGUGAAACUUUUGCAUUUGCAUGCCAUAUCACGUAAGCUAGUUACUUGCUUAAGAAUCCCUCAGGGACAUUGGUAAAUUAUAUAUUACUUUAGCUUUCUUGAGGUGUAGGAUUACUAAAAAGAAAAAAUCAUGAAGGUCCGCCCGGUACCGCUUGGAAUCUGUGGUUCACCUGAAUGUAGAACUGCUUGUAUAUUCUUAAUCAUCUGUUUAUCUGAAUAAAGGCUGGAAAUCCUAUAUUGAUGUUUAUGACACCAUAGAAUAUUAGGUGUUGAGAUGAUCGGAUUUAAAAAGCAUGGUCACCUGAGCUUAAUAGAAGAACUUAAAUCUCCACAAGAAACACAAUUAAGUUGACUCUUUGGUUUAUGUUGAAAUGGUUCAGUAAUAUUUCUUGCAGGCAUAUAUUUUCAAACUGUUAAACAUAAAUAGAAUUUUAAGUCAGUAUUUUCUGUUGACCCAAAUAUAUGUGCUUUAUUCUUGCAUAACAUUGGAACUGGCAUAUUCUAGUGGCAGAUUCAGACCAUCUUUCUAUAAUAAUAAUUGUCAAGACAUAUUUUUCCAUUUGGUGACUGAUCCACUAGUCGGUACAGACAAGUCUUCUAAUUCGACAGUUUUUGUUUUUCUUGCCAGCAAAACAUUUAGCUGAUGCAAAAAAAGUCUUCUGUGGAGCUUUGAUAAUUUAUUCAGGCAUAUGGGUUGGCGGAUUAGGUUCAUCCUACACGAGAACAUGGUAAGUUGCCUAGAAACUAGUCGGUCUGCUUGCAGAGUGCAUCUGUAUCAGGGUGUGCUAGUUUUUCUCAUUUCCAAGAUGACAACACUCUGAUUUUGAUUGAAACAGUCAUUCCAUUUUGAUGCCUUUGGGUAUCUACGCAGUGCCCCUCUCCCUUGUAAUUUUAAAUAUAUUGUCGAAUGAAAUUUGGGUUGUGACUGCUUCCAUUAGCGGA
Long non-coding RNA from Musa acuminata AAA Group (dessert banana), 3137 nucleotides. RefSeq lists it as uncharacterized. The transcript is spliced from 2 exons. The record is from RefSeq and is a predicted model, not a curated record. NCBI's taxonomy places the organism in Eukaryota, Viridiplantae, Streptophyta, Magnoliopsida, Zingiberales, Musaceae.